This 538-nucleotide ribosomal RNA is filed under the name Hemidactylus sp. Its description in RNAcentral is "partial small subunit ribosomal RNA". It matches the Rfam family "Bacterial large subunit ribosomal RNA", at positions 1815 to 2598 of the family's 2925-position model. The record is from RNAcentral. Lineage: Eukaryota; Metazoa; Chordata; Lepidosauria; Squamata; Gekkonidae.
AUCGCCUUUAGCUAAACAAGUAUUAAAGGUCCCGCCUGCCCAGUGAAUUAUUUUUAACGGCCGCGGUACCCUAACCGUGCAAAGGUAGCGUAAUCACUUGUCCCCUAAAUAGGGACCCGUAUGAAUGGCUAACUGAGGGUGAAAUUGUCUCCUAUUGCCAAUCAGUGAAACUGAUCCCUUAGUACAAAAGCUAAGAUAAACACACAAGACGAGAAGACCCUGUGGAGCUUUAAGCCCAUGUACUAAAGCCAAACAAACAGCCAGACUACAUAGUACAAACUUUAAGUUGGGGCAACUACGGAGGAAAAUAUAGCCUCCGCGAACAUGGCUAACCACCACAACAAGGCCAACACCCCAAAGAGACCUUAAGCCAGACCCAGUAUUACUGACUACCGAACCAAGUUACCCCAGGGAUAACAGCGCCAUCCUCUUCAAGAGUUCAUAUCGACAAGGGGGUUUACGACCUCGAUGUUGGAUCGAGGCCCCCAGGCGGUGCAGCCGCUGCCAAAGGUCCGUUUGUUCAACGGUUAAUGCCUCA